This 258-nucleotide long non-coding RNA is filed under the name Brassica napus (rape). RNAcentral's name for it is "long non-coding RNA (BNAP_LNC022345)". The record is from RNAcentral. Lineage: Eukaryota; Viridiplantae; Streptophyta; Magnoliopsida; Brassicales; Brassicaceae.
GAGAGUGGGUGUUUGUUUCUGUUACGUACCAUAUAUGCAUGCAAACCUCAAAACCUAAGGUAUUGGAUAUAAGAUGGAUAGCACAAAUGGCACCCAAAAAAGAUGGAUAACAAAAAAGAGAUGGACAAUAAAUAUAUAUAUUUGCCAAAAUUUUGAAUUUCAUACAAUGAAAUGUUAGUAGAAUUUUACAAGAGAGUUGAGAUCAGUUAGGUUCAACCAAGGCAAAAAAAUAUUUAAAACAAGGUUGAGCCUAAGAUU